This is a long non-coding RNA of Oncorhynchus tshawytscha (Chinook salmon), 2218 nucleotides long. NCBI's taxonomy places the organism in Eukaryota, Metazoa, Chordata, Actinopteri, Salmoniformes, Salmonidae. The record is from Ensembl.
CAAGAUCCUCGUGACCUAAAAAGCUCUCCCCCACCUUGCUACCCCUUACCUCUCUGACCUUCUUCUCUCCUACCAGCCCUCAUGCUCUCUCCCCUCAACCACAGUUGGUCACCUUGUCAUUCCCAGGUCCAAGCUCCAGAGUUUCAGUGACAGGGCAUUUGUAAAAAUGUGGGCACAAUCAGAAUGUGGACAAGAUCAGGAUAGAGGAUGCAUGUUUGCGCCAAAGUAUUUUGUUUAAUGUUUUUCUUCCUUUUGUUUAGUUAGAUUAUUGAAUGUUUGUUAGUUUCUACAAUUGUAAAGCUAUGUAUGUUUCAUGUAUAAGUAUUGUUAUUAUUAAAGUAGAGGAGUUAGUUCAGGCAAGCAACAUUUCAACACGUUCUUUUCACAUAUCCUUUGUAGAAGUUUUAUUUAUAAACUGGGUGGUUCCAGCCCUGAAUGCUGAUUGUCUGAAAGCCUUGUUAUAUCAGACCGUAUGACAAAACCUUUAUUUUUACUGCUCUAAUUACAUUGGUAACCAGUUUAUAAUAGCAAUAAGGCACCUCGGGGGUUUGUAGUAUAUGGCCAAUACAUCACGGUUAAGGGCUGUAUCCAGGCAUUCUUCAUUGCGUCAUGCAUAAGAACAGCCCUUAGCCAUGGUAUAUUGCCAAUAUACCACACCUCCUCGGGCCUUAUUGCUUAAUAUACAUGCUCACCUCUGCCAAUUGGAAACUGUUGUCCACUUGUCUGUCCCAUUUCCUUAAUAUGUUCUAUUUUGCAGUGGCAAUCAACAACCAUACCCCCACACUACAACCCUCCUCCUGUUGCUGCCCAAGAACUGUCUGAUACAGUUGCCCCCCAGGAGACCAGCUUCGCCCCCAUCCUCAACCAGGUUGAACCCCUGAUAUCCCCCACCACCCAGGAGACCAGCUUCACCCCAUCCCCAACCAGGUUGAACCCCCAAUAACCCCACCACCCAGGAGACCAGCUACACCCUCAUCCUCAACCAGGUUGAACCCCCGAUAUCCCCCACCACCCAGGAGACCAGCUUCACCCCCACCAAACCAAAGAAGAUGGGGAGAAAGUCCUGCCACCCUCAAAAAACCCUCCAACUCGCUGAGCAUGACACAGUCAAUCCCAUCAAACCCUAUCCAACUCCGACCAAGGAAGAGGAAAUAUGACUACUUGCAAAAAGAUUCUUGCCAAUCGAAUCUGGCAAGUGGCAGAGUCAGGAGUCAGACUUGAGCCAACUCCCCCCGUUUAUCGUGAGGAGCCAAGGAGGAGCUCAGAACCAGAGCUGGUGUUGGAGGUGAGCAAAGCAGAGACUGUGAAGGAGUUAAUGGGGAAAUUGGAGGAGAGAGAUAUGAGGGAGUUGCUGGUUUGGUGCAUGAGGCACGACAUUCGCCCAACGGAGCGUGUCAGGGAUUUAAUGGCACCUGGGUCAGCUCUCCAUACUCAUCCUGAGGUGCGUGCUAGGGGUCUGGUGAAGACUGUGCCAGCCUCACGCACCAGGCCUCCUGUGCAUCUCCCUAGCCUUGCACGUCCUGUGCCAUCUCAGCACUACAGUGCUAACCGUGGCGGGCGUGGUGCUGGUCAGGCACCGUGUUAUGCGGUGGUUCGCACGGUGUCCCCAGUACGCGUGCUUAGCCCGGUGCGCUACAUCUCAGCUUCCUACAUCUGCCGGGCUAGGGUGAAGAUCCAGCCAGGGCGGUUGGUGCCAGCCCUGCUCUCAAGAUCUCCAGUACGCCUUCACGGUCCGUCCAUCCAGUGCCACCUCCACACACCAGCCCUCCAGUGGCAGCUCCCCGCACCAGGCUUCCUGUGCGUGUCCUCGGCCCAGUACCACCAGUGCCAGCACCACGCAUCAGGCCUACAGUGCGUCCCGCCUGUCCAGCGCUGCCGGGGCCUUCAUCCUCUCCCGCCUGUCCGGCGCUGCUGCCGGAGUCUCCCGCCUGUCCAGCGCUGCUGCCGGAGUCUCCCGAGCCCCUCUGUCCCGAGCUGCCGCCCCUCUGUCCCGAGCUGCCGCCCCUCUGUCCCGAGCUGCCGCCCCUCUGUCCAGUGGGGUCAUUAAGUAGGGUCGCCGUGGCUAGGAGGCCACGGAAGCGGACAAGGUGGGGGACUAAGACUACGGUGAAGUGGGGGCCACGUCCAGCACCAGAGCCGCCACCGCGGACAGAUGCCCACCCAGACCCUCCCCAAUAGGUUCAGGUUUUGCGGCCGGAGUCCGCACCUUGGGGGGGGG